UUUUGAAUCAUCUCAUUAGCUUCUGCGGAAUGAAGACGCUCAAACUUAUCAUCUUGGCUGGGCCAUGUAUCAAUUCGACCAGAAGGCUCAGAUGAAGGUGGACUGAUUGCAGGAACUAAAGAUACAUUGGCAUCCAUAAAUUUCUGCACCACCAAAGCAUACAAUAUCUCCUCUAAAGCUUUUUUCCUGUCAUUAGCCUUAACCUCAGCAAUUCUCCUGAUAGUUUAGAAAAGUGACCAUGCAACAAAUUAGACCUCACAGCAGUGAUAAAUACCAUAACAGAAGACAAUAGCUUUUUUGGGGAAGAUGAGUUUCAAAGAAGCCUAGGCUAACCUGUACAAGACAAUGUCAGUACCGGUUGCAGAUGGUUCUUCCUUCUGUUGCUCUGAGUCGCGUUCAGUUUGAAGCUGUUCAAGCUGCUGAUCUACAGCAGCAGGGACAAGAUGUGGGUGACUUGUCAAAAUCUGAGAGAGAAAUUGGCCAAUAGGAGAUUCAAGCUGAAGUGGAGCAAUAGGGGCAGCUGAACCUCCAGACUCCGAGGGUGAUAGAGAUGCCCUGAUCGAGGUACAUUUUCUGCUACCAAAAGCCGCUUUCCUGUUGCUCAACUUCACAUGAGAAAUUGAGGGAUAAAGCUGCCAAUAACAUGUCCAAUAAAUUAGGUGUCAGAGAGCAUUUUCAGAUGCAUAAGGUUCUUAAUUUAUGCCAACUACUUCAUAAACCAAUUUAAAUAGAUAGUUUUGCUCAGAUCACAUCAAGGAAAUCUCUUUAUUAACUGAAUGAAGAUGUUUCAUUGAUAUAUCCAACUGGAUAGAUGGAUUAAAAAUAAAUAACGUAGGAUUACAUAGGUCAAUGCACGUUGAGCCACCUCCCUAAUUGGAAAAAUCAGCAGCAGAAGGAUUCAAACAGAUACAUUUCAUAGUCGCAAUAAUUGCAUAGUCAAGGCAUAAAAUUUGUAAGGUUACCUUAUACGACCAAAACUUAUAUCAAGCACAAAGGGAAAUUUCAGCAACAGCCUAGCACAUAUCCAACAAAUUUAGUAGAGAUAUCCAGGAUCAACAAUUCGACACAAAGUCCAGAAGACAGUAUGAGAUAUACGUUUGGAAAAAAAAAGGAGAAACAAAGAUAAUAGAAGAAUACACCAUUUUUCUUUUUCGGCAAGUCCGUAGACACCAUUUCACUAGACAGAAGGUGAGGAAAGAACCAGAGGUAAGCAGAAACUGCAACAAGACAUCAGCCACACUACACUAAUUCAGAAAGGAAUGGCAAUUGACGCAGAAAAAACUGGGCUACAUCACUCUGUUUCACAAACCUUGGGAUAAUAGUCAAUAAAAGGGAUGUAUGUAAACGUGGAUAUAUCUUAUUUUGGACAAUCUAUAGUUUUAAUAUGCUCUGGUGGCAUUACAUACUACCACCAUUGUUCCAAUAUAACCAGCGGGCAUAGGUAUCCUAAGGCAAGGCAAAAGAAAAUUCUCCGACGAUAAGAAAAAAAUCUAGUGCACUGUAAAAUUGAAGAAAACUUCAUCAAAAGAUGACCAAGCCUGGUCAUAUCUCUAACAAGAAUGCUUGCAUUUUUAGUGUAAGAAAUAACUAUUUAUUUAUAAGGUUUCAGAAACAACAGUUUGCUUAAAGGUCAACCCCCUCCUCGUAUUAAGUCUUAAUAAGCCAAAAAUUGGUAGAUAACCUUAAGCUCUCUAAAAAGCAUAAGGCCGGAUAUAACUUCGUCUCCAAAAUUGGUUGGACUACGCUGAAGGUUUUCCACACCAUCAUCUCCACCAUCUACUCAUAGUAGAGAGAAAGAGGUACUUUUUUCUCCGAUAUUCAGGGGCAUUCUCUUACACGUUUAGUUGUACUUCAGGGGAUCCAAUUAGUAAUUUAUUUGAUAUCCAUAGACACCAAAUACCAUCAUAUGAAGAAGAUAUGUGUAAGCAUCAAUUGAGAAUAUAAACAAGCUCCCAAUUGUAAACCUGACUGCUACGGUAGUGUAAAGAUCUGCAUAUAUAAACAUCGUAUUAUUUGACUACAUACAAAGUUACGCUGCUUUUACCGUUUCGUCCCCUCUUUCGAUUUUAAUUCCAUUCAUUUACCAGGCUUAAACCUUGAGAAAACCAUCUGAUAAGAUGUCGUCAUCCUUUUUGUCAUAUUCAUUCUCUCUCAAUUCCAAAGUUCAUUUACACUGUCUCCUAUCAAAAGUUGACAACAUACAAAGGCGAACUCUGCUAACAGAUGUAUCCAACAUAUUUAUGUACUUAAUCCAUCUUCAAAAUUUACCAAAAAAUUAGUGCCUGUGUUCUACCUCCACCACAAGGAAAAUUCCUGAGCAAACAAAACUUAUAUUCUUUCGACAAGUACAAACAAAACUUAUAUUAUUGCAGAAGAUCUGGGCUUUCGGAAAGCUGAAUAUGCAAAGAGUAAAAAGAAAAAGUCUUUUCCGUAAAUAUUCCAGCUACUAUAUCAUAAGAAACUAAAGCAGAUAAAAAUGAUAAACAGAACUCAAUAAUACCUUGAUCCCAGAAGGAGAAAUCCGAAACUGUGAC
This 2534-nucleotide long non-coding RNA is filed under the name Nicotiana tabacum (common tobacco). Its description in RNAcentral is "long non-coding RNA (NTAB_LNC006352)". The record is from RNAcentral. Lineage: Eukaryota; Viridiplantae; Streptophyta; Magnoliopsida; Solanales; Solanaceae.